GUUGUAUAGUUAAGUGACUAAGCGUACAAGGUGGAUGCCUUGGCAAUCAGAGGCGAAGAAGGACGUGCUAAUCUGCGAAAAGCUUGGAUGAGUCGAUAAGAGGCGUUUAAUCCAAGAUAUCCGAAUGGGGAAACCCAGUAGAUGAAGAAUCUACUAUCAACAAGUGAAUUCAUAGCUUGUUGAGGCAAACCGGGAGAACUGAAACAUCUAAGUACCCCGAGGAAAAGAAAUCAACCGAGAUUUCGUCAGUAGCGGCGAGCGAAAGCGAAAGAGCCAGUAAGUGAUAGCAGUAUAGUGA
This 298-nucleotide ribosomal RNA is filed under the name Haemophilus influenzae. RNAcentral's name for it is "partial 23S ribosomal RNA". It matches the Rfam family "Bacterial large subunit ribosomal RNA", at positions 1 to 291 of the family's 2925-position model. Lineage: Bacteria; Pseudomonadati; Pseudomonadota; Gammaproteobacteria; Pasteurellales; Pasteurellaceae. The record is from RNAcentral.